GUCCGUGAUUAUACAGAUGUGGAAACGCCUUGCUCCAUCCCGAACCAAGAAGCUAAGCAUAUCGUGGGUGAUGAUACUACGCCUUACUGGCA
RNAcentral lists this ribosomal RNA (92 nucleotides) under Campylobacter jejuni. Lineage: Bacteria; Pseudomonadati; Campylobacterota; Epsilonproteobacteria; Campylobacterales; Campylobacteraceae. The record is from RNAcentral.